GAUUGCCUUGGGAAUGGGAGCCCAGGUUCGAGACUUCUGCAAGGCACCUGAGGAGGGCUGGAGGGUAUAUCAGCCGAAGCGUUGUGUUGGCAAUGAACAAGAUGAGGCCAGGUAUCCAUCGAAUGUAAAUAAUGUAAGUGAUGUGCAGAGUUCCUUGUCUCUUAAAUAUAGAA
Octopus sinensis (East Asian common octopus) is the source of this 173-nucleotide long non-coding RNA. RefSeq lists it as uncharacterized. The transcript has 2 exons. The record is from RefSeq and is a predicted model, not a curated record. NCBI's taxonomy places the organism in Eukaryota, Metazoa, Mollusca, Cephalopoda, Octopoda, Octopodidae.